Molecule: ribosomal RNA, 465 nt
Filed under: uncultured bacterium
Lineage: Bacteria
Description: partial 16S ribosomal RNA
Rfam family: Bacterial small subunit ribosomal RNA
Source: RNAcentral
GACGAACGCUGGCGGCGUGCUUAACACAUGCAAGUCGAACGGAAAGGCCCUGCUUGCAGGGUACUCGAGUGGCGAACGGGUGAGUAACACGUGGGUGAUCUGCCCUCUACUUCGGGAUAAGCCUGGGAAACUGGGUCUAAUACCGGAUAGGAGCCAUUAUUUGUGUGAUGGUUGGAAAGUUUUUUCGGUGUAGGGUGAGCUCGCGGCCUAUCAGCUUGUUGGUGGGGUAAUGGCCUACCAAGGCGGCGACGGGUAGCCGGCCUGAGAGGGUGGACGGCCACAUUGGGACUGAGAUACGGCCCAGACGCCGACGGGAGGAAGCAGGGGGGAAUAUUGCACAAGGGGCGCAAGCCUGAUGCAGCGACGCCGCGUGGGGGAUGACGCCCUUGGGGUUGUAAACUCCUUUCGCUAGGGACGAAGCUUGUUGUGACGGUACCUAGAGAAGAAGCACCGGCUAACUACGUG